This 253-nucleotide ribosomal RNA is filed under the name uncultured bacterium. Its description in RNAcentral is "partial 16S ribosomal RNA". It matches the Rfam family "Bacterial small subunit ribosomal RNA", at positions 524 to 776 of the family's 1533-position model. The record is from RNAcentral.
AACGUAGGGGGCGAGCGUUAUCCGGAAUCACUGGGCGUAAAGGGCGUCCAGGCGGUCCAGUAAGUCCUGCGUGAAAGCUCCCGGCUCAACUGGGAGAGCGCGUGGGAGACUGUUGGGCUAGAGACUCGGAGAGGGGUGUGGAAUUCCCGGUGGAGUGGUGAAAUGCGUUGAGAUCGGGAGGAACGCCAGUGGCGAAGGCGGCCCCCUGGGCGAGUUCUGACGCUGAAGCGCGACAGCGUGGGGAGCAAACGGG